AUUGAACGCUGGCGGCAUGCCUUACACAUGCAAGUCGAACGGCAGCACGGGGGCGAACCCUCGGUGGCGAGUGGCGAACGGGUGAGUAAUGCAUCGGAACGUGUCCUCUUGUGGGGAUAACCAGUCGAAAGAUUGGCUAAUACCGCAUGAGAUCGAGAGAUGAAAGCGGGGGACCCGAGGGUAACUUCGGGCCUCGCGCGAGAGGAGCGGCCGAUGCCGGAUUAGCUAGUUGGUGGGGUAAGAGCCUACCAAGGCGACGAUCCGUAGCUGGUCUGAGAGGACGACCAGCCACACUGGGACUGAGACACGGCCCAGACUCCUACGGGAGGCAGCAGGUGGGGUAAUUUUGGACAAUGGGCGCAAGCCUGAUCCAGCCAUGCCGCGUGUG
RNAcentral lists this ribosomal RNA (388 nucleotides) under uncultured bacterium. RNAcentral describes it as "bacterial SSU rRNA". It matches the Rfam family "Bacterial small subunit ribosomal RNA", at positions 29 to 405 of the family's 1533-position model. The record is from RNAcentral.